CGGAGGGUGCUAAGCGUUGUCCGGAUUUAUUGGGUUUAAAGGGUGCGUAGGCGGCUUUUUAAGUCAGUGGUGAAAUCCAGCAGCUUAACUGUUGAAUUGCCAUUGAUACUGGAGAGCUUGAGUACAGACGAGGUAGGCGGAAUUUAUGGUGUAGCGGUGAAAUGCAUAGAUACCAUAAAGAACACCGAUUGCGAAGGCAGCUUACUAGGCUGUAACUGACGCUGAGGCACGAAAGUGUGGGGAUCAAACAGGAUUAGAUACCCUGGUAGUCCACACUGUAAACGAUGAUUACUCGAUGUGUGCGAUAGACAGUACGCGUCCAAGCGAAAGCGUUAAGUAAUCCACCUGGGGAGUACGGCCGCAAGGCUG
This 369-nucleotide ribosomal RNA is filed under the name uncultured organism. Its description in RNAcentral is "bacterial SSU rRNA". It matches the Rfam family "Bacterial small subunit ribosomal RNA", at positions 526 to 896 of the family's 1533-position model. The record is from RNAcentral.